This 827-nucleotide ribosomal RNA is filed under the name Apilactobacillus kunkeei. Its description in RNAcentral is "bacterial SSU rRNA". It matches the Rfam family "Bacterial small subunit ribosomal RNA", at positions 556 to 1383 of the family's 1533-position model. Lineage: Bacteria; Bacillati; Bacillota; Bacilli; Lactobacillales; Lactobacillaceae. The record is from RNAcentral.
GGGCGUAAAGCGAGCGCAGGCGGUUUUGUAAGUCUGCUGUGAAAGCCCUCAGCUCAACUGAGGAAGUGCAGUGGAAACUACAAAACUUGAGUACAGAAGAGGAAAGUGGAACUCCAUGUGUAGCGGUGAAAUGCGUAGAUAUAUGGAAGAACACCAGUGGCGAAGGCGGCUUUCUGGUCUGUUACUGACGCUGAGGCUCGAAAGCAUGGGUAGCGAACAGGAUUAGAUACCCUGGUAGUCCAUGCCGUAAACGAUGAAUACUAGGUGUUGGAGGGUUUCCGCCCUUCAGUGCCGCAGCUAACGCAUUAAGUAUUCCGCCUGGGGAGUACGACCGCAAGGUUGAAACUCAAAGGAAUUGACGGGGGCCCGCACAAGUGGUGGAGCAUGUGGUUUAAUUCGAUGCUACGCGAAGAACCUUACCAGCUCUUGACAUCUUCUGCCAACCCAAGAGAUUGGGCGUUCCCUUCGGGGACAGAAUGACAGGUGGUGCAUGGUUGUCGUCAGCUCGUGUCGUGAGAUGUUGGGUUAAGUCCCGCAACGAGCGCAACCCUUAUUAUUAGUUGCCAGCAUUUAGUUGGGCACUCUAGUGAGACUGCCGGUGAUAAACCGGAGGAAGGUGGGGACGACGUCAAAUCAUCAUGCCCCUUAUGAGCUGGGCUACACACGUGCUACAAUGGAUGGUACAACGAGUCGCGAAACCGCGAGGUCAAGCUAAUCUCUUAAAGCCAUUCUCAGUUCGGAUUGCAGGCUGCAACUCGCCUGCAUGAAGUUGUAAUCACUAGUAAUCGUGGAUCAGCAUGCCACGGUGAAUACGUUCCCGGGCCUUG